ACAUGCCUACAUCAUAGCGUUAAUGCACCAGAUCCCAUUAGAACUCUGCAGUUAAGCACGCUCAAGCUAGAGUAGUACCAGGAUGGGUGACUGCCUGGGAAGUUCUAGUGUUUUACAUGCC
Picea glauca (white spruce) is the source of this 121-nucleotide non-coding RNA. The record is from Rfam. Lineage: Eukaryota; Viridiplantae; Streptophyta; Pinopsida; Pinales; Pinaceae.